GAGAGUAGCAAAGGGAAGGAGACGGAAGAGAAGAGAGGGCACGGCGGCAUUAGGUACCCUCGUCCACCCUCGAUCCCAACCUUUUUACACGGGCCACAGUAUAGAGAGAGAGAGAGAGAGAGAGGAGGGAGAGUACAUGGACCCAUUCCUAGAUGCCGUAUCUUCGAAUUAGAGCGGGACACAAGGAGACUUAGCUGACACGCGCAACUAAAUAAACCGUCGCUACCGAGCAGAUACAGGCUACAGCAGCAGGCCCCGCAGCUAAGAUAUCUCCAUGUCCUCAACUGCCAGAAGGCGCUAAGUUGAUACUUCCUUACCCCGCUAACGAAGUAGUAAUCUAUUUUCUUUAUCGUCUGGGACGGUUGUCCUUUUAUUCUGGCUUAGAAGGUCUCGAUACGAGACCAUUAUACCUGAUACGAGGAAUACUUUAAGAGACUUUAAGUCCGAACUUAUGAUACAAUACUACGUCUUAGUAGAUUAGUAGAGUUGUGAACCGAAGUAGGAAGACCCCCUACACGUUUGCUCAAACUCCGGGACACAGUAGGUCUUCCUUGGUACAACACUAAAGGGUAGACGCGAUUACGAGCUAGAAAGUUCGCACUGACAACCUGCUGUAAAUAAAAUCGACUACUAAGACGAACAUGAAACCGGUUGGACACCAAUAGUGAUAA
This 671-nucleotide ribosomal RNA is filed under the name Triticum aestivum (bread wheat). RNAcentral describes it as "partial small subunit ribosomal RNA". Lineage: Eukaryota; Viridiplantae; Streptophyta; Magnoliopsida; Poales; Poaceae. The record is from RNAcentral.